Molecule: long non-coding RNA, 544 nt
Filed under: Pan troglodytes (chimpanzee)
Lineage: Eukaryota; Metazoa; Chordata; Mammalia; Primates; Hominidae
Description: lincRNA
Source: RNAcentral
CUCCCUGUAGAGUUUUACCCCCUGCUCCUCUGGCCGCCCUCCGGAUGGAUCUUUGUGCUGCCAGGCAGGAAUGGGCUGCUUGGGGACCCAGUGAGCUCCGAGGGCCUUUCUGCUGCUUCCUGUACCCCUGUAUUUCGCUCGGCUCUCUGACUUGACUCAGCUCCAGGAGGAAUCUGCAUAGAUUAGACGAAAAAGUUAAAAGGAGUAUGAAUGAAAAAACUACGUGUACAAGAUGUCCAAGAUGAACAAAACUAUACAAUAAAGUUCAUUUCAGUAUACAACAUGUAUUAUAUUCAACAAGGCUCAAAUUUUUUGGUAAAAGGAAACAGAGACCUGUUUUUCUAGCAGGAAGAUAUUUUUCUUGGGAUGUUUUGUUUAUGCUGGCUUGAAUAACACUAUGAAAUAUUCUUUCAUUAAUAUUACAUGCUUAUGGAACUUUACCUAUUGAUUAAAGGCAUCUACUCCUGGAGAAAGAGCCCAAUGAGAAGUAAUCUCUGAAGCCCAGAUUUCCUAAGGAUGAAGCUUCAGGAGAGGUCUUAUCAAU